This 253-nucleotide unclassified non-coding RNA is filed under the name uncultured Alphaproteobacteria bacterium. RNAcentral describes it as "contains 16S-23S intergenic spacer region". It matches the Rfam family "Bacterial small subunit ribosomal RNA", at positions 524 to 776 of the family's 1533-position model. Lineage: Bacteria; Pseudomonadati; Pseudomonadota; Alphaproteobacteria. The record is from RNAcentral.
UACGAAGGGGGCUAGCGUUGUUCGGAUUUACUGGGCGUAAAGCGCACGUAGGCGGAUCAUUAAGUCAGGGGUGAAAUCCUGGAGCUCAACUCCAGAACUGCCUUUGAUACUGGUGAUCUUGAGUCCGGAAGAGGUGAGUGGAACUCCUAGUGUAGAGGUGGAAUUCGUAGAUAUUAGGAAGAACACCAGUGGUGAAGGCGGCUCACUGGUCUGUUACUGACGCUGAGGUGCGAAAGCGUGGGGAGCAAACAGG